CCAGAGAUUUACAUGCGGGUAAUAUUUGCCAACUUUUACAUAAGUUGUUGUCUUUGCUUUGUUCUUGUUUUCUCUGUUUUGCAACUUCUGGUGUGUCUCUCUCUGUUUUUCGGUUUCCCUUUGAGAACUUUUAAAAAUCAGACUCUCUCUGACACGUUUCCCUAUGCAGACUGUGUGGAAUGUCCCUGGCCGUGCUUCCGGCGUGAAUCCCCCGGCGUUUGCUUCUGGUGAACCUCCCCCAACCCUUCCUCAUGACCCUCCUGACCCUACCUCUCCUCUCUCGCCAGUAAACUUCCCCACCCUUACUGAAACCACCACAAACACUGUCCUCUACGGCUCUUCUCGAAAGGGAACCCGUACGGAAUCUAGAUCUUCCCACUUAACUGCCUCCUCUACUGAUAAGAGGAAGGUCGCAACUACUAGCUCUGAAACCACUUCAAUGGAGAUUGAGCUAGAAACCCAAACCUUAUCCAUUAAUGCAACUAUUCCUGAAAAUAGAUCUGAAACUGCUACAGUACAAUCUACAAAUUCUGAAACUAACCUUAUCCAAAACCUUACCAUCAUCCCUCCGAAGAAUUCAUCACCUAUCCAAACUAACAAAGCCUCUUCAGCAACUCUUCCCUCCUUUCCUCCUCCCCUCCUUCCGCCCCAUGUGCCUGUCAACUCGAAACCUGUCUCAUCAACUUCAGGACUGGCUGAGAAACCAACUCAGAACCAAACACUUGUGGAAAAAUUGAGAGCUUCCGUAGACAACACAUUGAGGCGUCUCGCUCCUAUCACGAUAGCUCCCUCUGGUCGUCCAAGAGUAGUCAUUCCUGACACUGUGUUGAAAAAAGGUGCAGAAAUACACAAAGACUUCAUCAUAUGCUACUUCAAUGGGAAGUCUCCACCCUAUAAUCAAAUACAAAGUGUGUUUAAUUAUAUGUGGGGAAAAGGAAAGAAGCUAGAGAUCCACAACAACCCAUUAAACCAUUCAGUGAUAGUGAGAAUACAAAGUGAAUACCUCAGGAACAAGAUACUGGGGAAAAGCAUAUGGUAUGUUGGAGACUCAAUGUUUCACACUGCUCAGUGGAACUCUAAUCACUCGAUGAUGACCCCUCCGCUGAAAGCUAUCAAGAUUUGGGCACAUCUAACGGGUGUUCUACUAGACCUUCGUUAUGAUGAGGGACUGAGCCUUGUGGCGGGACUAGUGGGAGAGCCAAAAGAGACCAACGAUUUCACAAAAAAUAUGGUCAGUCUUACAGUAUCUCACGUCAAGGUUGAAGUAGACUUAACGGUACCAUUACCUCCGGUGGUGGAAUAUGAGAGGGAGAAUAGACAAGUGGUUGAAGUCUUGGUUCAUUACCCAUGGGUUCUUCCAACUUGCUCACACUGUCAAGAACUGGGUCAUAUAGUGAGGAACUGUCUCAGCUACACCCCCCUCCUGCUCCUGAAACUGGAAAAGAAAAAGCCUCUUACUCUAUGGCUAAGGAAACAGCUAGCACAAGCGAAAACAACCCAAAAACCCCUCAAAAACCUCAUCAUAAAUCCCAAGCCCCCAAUCUACUUUCACCCCUGCGAAAACCUCUACAAAACAACACAAAAAAUACCAACCUGCUUUACUGCCU
This 1607-nucleotide long non-coding RNA is filed under the name Brassica napus (rape). RNAcentral describes it as "long non-coding RNA (BNAP_LNC015945)". Lineage: Eukaryota; Viridiplantae; Streptophyta; Magnoliopsida; Brassicales; Brassicaceae. The record is from RNAcentral.